AAACUUUCAACAAUGGAUCUCUUGGCUCUCGCAUCGAUGAAGAACGCAGCGAAAUGCGAUAAGUAAUAUGAAUUGCAGAAUUCCGUGAAUCAUCAAAUUUUUGAACGCAAAUUGCACUUCUUGGCGUUCCGAGGAGUACACAUGCUUGAGGGUCAGU
RNAcentral lists this ribosomal RNA (157 nucleotides) under uncultured Gigaspora. RNAcentral's name for it is "5.8S ribosomal RNA". It matches the Rfam family "5.8S ribosomal RNA". Rfam says of the family: 5.8S ribosomal RNA (5.8S rRNA) is a component of the large subunit of the eukaryotic ribosome. It is transcribed by RNA polymerase I as part of the 45S precursor that also contains 18S and 28S rRNA. Lineage: Eukaryota; Fungi; Glomeromycota; Glomeromycetes; Diversisporales; Gigasporaceae. The record is from RNAcentral.